Molecule: non-coding RNA, 99 nt
Organism: Rhodocollybia butyracea
Lineage: Eukaryota; Fungi; Basidiomycota; Agaricomycetes; Agaricales; Omphalotaceae
Source: the annotation of a GenBank genome assembly
GCUUUCCUUAGCUCAGUCGGUAGAGCGCGAUAUAUAUAUGCUGAGCGUGGUACUGCGAUAUAUUCUCGAGGUCGCAAGUUCGAAAGCUUGCAGGAAGCA